Molecule: unclassified non-coding RNA, 261 nt
Filed under: uncultured fungus
Lineage: Eukaryota; Fungi
Description: sequence contains ITS2
Source: RNAcentral
AAAUCUCAACCUUCUCGGUUUUCUUCUGGACACCGAAGGAGGCUUGGACUUUGGAGGCCUUUGCUGGCGUCUCUCUUCUUGAGAGCCAGCUCCUCUUAAAUGAAUUAGCGGGGUCCUCUUUGCCGAUCCUCGACAUGUGAUAAGAUGUUUCCAUGACUUGGUUUCUGGCUCUGUUGCCUUUGGGACCCGCUUCUAACCGUCUCGACGAGACAAUGUUUGGGCGUGUCUCCCUUCUCGGGAGACUCUCUCGACCCCACGAAC